RNAcentral lists this transfer RNA (85 nucleotides) under Halogranum tailed virus 1. RNAcentral describes it as "Halovirus HGTV-1 tRNA". It matches the Rfam family "tRNA". From Rfam's summary of the family: Transfer RNA (tRNA) molecules are approximately 80 nucleotides in length. The record is from Rfam by way of RNAcentral. Lineage: Duplodnaviria; Heunggongvirae; Uroviricota; Caudoviricetes; Thumleimavirales; Halomagnusviridae.
AGGUCGGUGCGCCGAGUCUGGUCAAAGGCAGGGCACUUAAGAUGCCCCGAUUAGUUCUUCACAGGUUCAAAUCCUGUCCGGCCUA